UAAAAUCUGUAAUUGGAGGGCUUCAUCAUACCUAUUUUGUUGGCAAUGCGCCUAUGGGCCAUAUUGCUUCCGGACCAACCGAAGACUCACCUGAUUCUCCAUCCUUAAAGCGAUUUUUUUUCAAAUCACAAGUAAUUGGUACCAACGUACUCAGUAUUGGGAAAUGUGAGGACCAUGUAUGGGUGACCAAGGAUGAAUUGUUGGAAUAUUUUCCGGAGCAUGCUGAUUUUUUCAACAAGAUGAUUAUUAGCUGAGAGGUA
Molecule: unclassified non-coding RNA, 260 nt
Filed under: Hevea brasiliensis (rubber tree)
Lineage: Eukaryota; Viridiplantae; Streptophyta; Magnoliopsida; Malpighiales; Euphorbiaceae
Source: RNAcentral